ACGGAAGGCAGCAGUCGGGAAUAUUGCGCAAUGGAGGAAACUCUGACGCAGUGACGCCGCGUAUAGGACGGAGGUCUUCGGAUUGUAAACUAUUGUCGUUAGGGAAGAGAAAGGACAGUACCUAAGGAGGAAGCUCCGGCUAACUACGUGCCAGCAGCCGCGGUAAUACGUAGGGAGCAAGCGUUAUCCGGAUUUAUUGGGUGUAAAGGGUGCGUAGACGGGAAUUUAAGUUAGUUGUGAAAUCCCUCGGCUCAACUGAGGAACUGCAACUAAAACUGGAUUUCUUGAGUGCUGGAGAGGAAAGCGGAAUUCCUAGUGUAGCGGUGAAAUGCGUAGAUAUUAGGAGGAACACCAGUGGCGGAGGCGGCUUUCUGGACAGUAACUGACGUUGAGGCACGAAAGUGUGGGGAGCAAACAGGAUUAGAUACCCUGGUA
RNAcentral lists this ribosomal RNA (435 nucleotides) under uncultured Oscillospiraceae bacterium. RNAcentral describes it as "partial 16S ribosomal RNA". It matches the Rfam family "Bacterial small subunit ribosomal RNA", at positions 341 to 792 of the family's 1533-position model. Lineage: Bacteria; Bacillati; Bacillota; Clostridia; Eubacteriales; Oscillospiraceae. The record is from RNAcentral.